Molecule: long non-coding RNA, 938 nt
Filed under: Lathyrus oleraceus (garden pea)
Lineage: Eukaryota; Viridiplantae; Streptophyta; Magnoliopsida; Fabales; Fabaceae
Description: Pisum sativum (pea) long non-coding RNA (PSAT_LNC036482)
Source: RNAcentral
GGUUGUUACUGUAGGAAAUGAUUGUUAGCAAUGCAUUCAUGCCCCCUUUUGAAAUGGUGUUAAUGGAUUGCACGUGAAUUGAUGUAUGCUGGUUGAAAAAUAUGUAUUGCUUGGUCUUGUUAUGUAAAUUUGGUCUGCAACUGUCAUAGAAGUAAAAGUAUGUUAUGUUAAUGUGCACGAAGUUUGCCAUGUAAUGCUAUGUACUAAUGCUUUGGUGUACAUGUUUCUUCAUUGAAAUUUAUAAUUAUGAUAAUUAUGGUUAACUGUUUGUUGAAAAUGCUAUGCUAAUCGGUUAGUUGCUGGUGUUACAAAUGCAAUGUUUAAUGAUAGUUGGUGAUUUGGGAGUUGUUAGUUUGUGUAUGUAUGUAUAUUGAAUUGUGUAUGUAUAUGUGUAUGCAAUUUGAUUUUCUUUAUACUUGCUUGGUAUGCAUGAUGAAUUUUGAAAUGCAUUGCAUGUUGGGGCUGUCAUGACUAGGCUUGGAUUUAGAUGUUCAAUAUUGUUCAAACUUCAUGUUUCCUUAGUGAUUAUACUUGAAGAUUGAAUAGGUAGUUUUUUUUCUUUUUAACUGUGAAAGUGUUGUUCAUCUCACUUUCAUUCUAAAGGAACAAGAUUUCUCCCAUAAAAUGAUUGAACGAACUCUAAUAUAGUUAUAGGUAUACUUAUAGGUAUAUUGUAAUAGAAAAAGUUUGAUUCUUGUAAUAUAAAAAAUGAAAGUGAUGAGGUAAUUAAAGUUGGUAUAUUGGCGUAUCGGAUACGUUAUUGAAGUUUAUAUUAACAUUGGUUAUGUAUAGGUUUUUGAAGUUUAAAAUGAAUUGAACUUUAUAAUUGUUAGGAUAUUCAAAGAUACUACCUUAGUUAUGUAUUUUCGUCUGGAUUAAUUGUUUACUUUAAUAAGUAGGAAAACCAUGGAUAAAACAUGGAUCUGUGCCGAUCGAAU